RNAcentral lists this ribosomal RNA (931 nucleotides) under Bifidobacterium adolescentis. RNAcentral describes it as "bacterial SSU rRNA". It matches the Rfam family "Bacterial small subunit ribosomal RNA", at positions 89 to 1031 of the family's 1533-position model. The record is from RNAcentral. Lineage: Bacteria; Bacillati; Actinomycetota; Actinomycetes; Bifidobacteriales; Bifidobacteriaceae.
GUGAGAGUGGCGAACGGGUGAGUAAUGCGUGACCGACCUGCCCCAUACACCGGAAUAGCUCCUGGAAACGGGUGGUAAUGCCGGAUGCUCCGACAUGACGCAUGUCGUGUCGGGAAAGAUUCAUCGGUAUGGGAUGGGGUCGCGUCCUAUCAGCUUGAUGGCGGGGUAACGGCCCACCAUGGCUUCGACGGGUAGCCGGCCUGAGAGGCGACCGGCCACAUUGGGACUGAGAUACGGCCCAGACUCCUACGGGAGGCAGCAGUGGGGAAUAUUGCACAAUGGGCGCAAGCCUGAUGCAGCGACGCCGCGUGCGGGAUGACGGCCUUCGGGUUGUAAACCGCUUUUGACUGGGAGCAAGCCCUUCGGGGUGAGUGUACCUUUCGAAUAAGCACCGGCUAACUACGUGCCAGCAGCCGCGGUAAUACGUAGGGUGCAAGCGUUAUCCGGAAUUAUUGGGCGUAAAGGGCUCGUAGGCGGUUCGUCGCGUCCGGUGUGAAAGUCCAUCGCUUAACGGUGGAUCCGCGCCGGGUACGGGCGGGCUUGAGUGCGGUAGGGGAGACUGGAAUUCCCGGUGUAACGGUGGAAUGUGUAGAUAUCGGGAAGAACACCAAUGGCGAAGGCAGGUCUCUGGGCCGUCACUGACGCUGAGGAGCGAAAGCGUGGGGAGCGAACAGGAUUAGAUACCCUGGUAGUCCACGCCGUAAACGGUGGAUGCUGGAUGUGGGGACCAUUCCACGGUCUCCGUGUCGGAGCCAACGCGUUAAGCAUCCCGCCUGGGGAGUACGGCCGCAAGGCUAAAACUCAAAGAAAUUGACGGGGGCCCGCACAAGCGGCGGAGCAUGCGGAUUAAUUCGAUGCAACGCGAAGAACCUUACCUGGGCUUGACAUGUUCCCGACAGCCGUAGAGAUACGGUCUCCCUUCGGGGCGGGU